RNAcentral lists this ribosomal RNA (253 nucleotides) under uncultured bacterium. RNAcentral's name for it is "partial 16S ribosomal RNA". It matches the Rfam family "Bacterial small subunit ribosomal RNA", at positions 524 to 776 of the family's 1533-position model. The record is from RNAcentral.
UACGUAGGUGACAAGCGUUAUCCGGAUUUAUUGGGCGUAAAGGGAACGCAGGCGGUCUUUUAAGUCUGAUGUGAAAGCCUUCGGCUUAACCGGAGUAGUGCAUUGGAAACUGGGAGACUUGAGUGCAGAAGAGGAGAGUGGAACUCCAUGUGUAGCGGUGAAAUGCGUAGAUAUAUGGAAGAACACCAGUGGCGAAAGCGGCUCUCUGGUCUGUAACUGACGCUGAGGUUCGAAAGCGUGGGUAGCAAACAGG